Molecule: long non-coding RNA, 612 nt
Organism: Saccostrea cuccullata (small rock oyster)
Lineage: Eukaryota; Metazoa; Mollusca; Bivalvia; Ostreida; Ostreidae
Exons: 3
Source: RefSeq, a predicted model, not a curated record
ACUAUAUGUUCUAAAUGAAUAAAAAAGGCUCAUUAUGCACAUAUUUAUGUGAAAUAUGAUAGAUUUUUUUUCUCUUCAAGGAAUAAUUUCUGCAAGUCACUAAGUUUUUAGAGUUUCCUUUAUUUUAUAGAUAUUCAAUGAAAUUAUUUGAAGUAUUAAAUUUUGGUAAAUUUUAUGAUACUAAAAGGUUAUAUGGAUGAAAAAACAGCAUGCGUGUAUGACAAUAGGGCUUAAAUUUUUAAUGUCUCUUAAUUUUUCAGUGACAUUUAAACAGGAAUUGUCAUCACCAAUAGACGAAUUUCACAUUCCUAAGAGUUUCCUCCAAUUGUCGGCGUAUCGCUCAUUUUCCCCACUUUGUCCUUUGUCCUGUUCUGUGGAUGCCCUUAGACAGUGUCUACCCAUCACUCCAUCUGAAAUCACUUGUUCUGUGCAUAUUUCUCUCUCAAACUUAAACUACAGAGAACCUGUGGAUAGAGGAUGAAGAGUGACCUUGGACUAGUUUUCUAGGUCAAAGAUCAUAGGUGAUGUGAAGAAAACCAGGAAACUGAUGUUGAAAGAAGUACUUAAUGACCCUUAUGAAUGGACUUAAAUGUGAAAGACUGUUCCAUUGUU